UGGCUCAGUAACACGUCAAUAAUCUGCCCUUAGGUUCUGGAUAACCUCGGAAAACUGAGGCUAAAACAGGAUAGGAAAAUAAUUCUGGAAUGAUUAUUUUCUUAAACGCAAGGCCUAAGGAUGAGUUGGCGGUGGAUUAGGCUGUUGGCGGGGUAAAGGCCCACCAAACCGAAGAUCCAUACGGGCCAUGAGAGUGGUAGCCCGGAGAAGGACACUGAGAAACUGGUCCUAGCCCUACGGGGUGCAGCAGGCGCGAAACCUUUACAAUGCACGCAAGUGUGAUAAGGGGAUCCCAAGUGCUUUACUUUUAGUAAGGCUUUUUUCAAUGUUAAAUCCAUUGAAGAAUAAGUGGUGGGUAAGACGGGUGCCAGCCGCCGCGGUAACACCCGCGCCACAAGUGGUAAUCGCGAUUAUUGGGCCUAAAGCGUCCGUAGCCGGUCUGAAAAAUCCCUUGUGAAUUUGUUGCUCCUAAGGCAACAGCGUGCAGGGGGCACUCUCAGACUAGAAAUCAGGAGGGGUCAGGAGUAUUUCAGGGGGAGCGGUAAAACACGUCACUAGCGUUCCUGGAUAUAAACGUUAUGACGUUUACAUUGUUAUAAUCCCUGAAAGACUACCAGUGGCGAAGGCGCCUGACCAGAAUGAUUUUGACGGUGAGGGACGAAAGCCAGGGGAGCAAAACGGAUUAGAUACGAGAAAUUUUGAGGUAAUUGUGAGUGAGUUCACUCGCAUUUUACAAAUUUCUGGAAUUAGCUUCGUAAAUUUUUGUUCAGAAAACUGCUUUUACGAAAAUUAAUUCAAGAUAUAAUCAAAAUUUACUCGCUAAUUACCCGAGUAGUCCUGGCUGUAAACGCUGCGAGCUAGGUGUUGCAUAUUCCUGUGAAUAUGCAGUGUCGAAGCGAAGGUGUUAAGCUCGCCGCCUGGGAAGUAUGGUCGCAAGACUGAAACUUAAAGGAAUUGGCGGA
RNAcentral lists this ribosomal RNA (962 nucleotides) under uncultured archaeon. Its description in RNAcentral is "bacterial SSU rRNA". It matches the Rfam family "Archaeal small subunit ribosomal RNA", at positions 86 to 872 of the family's 1478-position model. The record is from RNAcentral.